Molecule: ribosomal RNA, 491 nt
Filed under: uncultured bacterium
Lineage: Bacteria
Description: partial 16S ribosomal RNA
Rfam family: Bacterial small subunit ribosomal RNA
Source: RNAcentral
AGUGAACGCUGGCGGUAGGCCUAACACAUGCGAGUCGAACGGCAGCACAGUAAGAGCUUGCUCUUACGGGUGGCGAGUGGCGGACGGGUGAGGAAUACAUCGGAAUCUACUUUUUCGUGGGGGAUAACGUAGGGAAACUUACGCUAAUACCGCAUACGACCUACGGGUGAAAGCAGGGGAUCUUCGGACCUUGCGCGAUUGAAUGAGCCGAUGUCGGAUUAGCUAGUUGGCGGGGUAAGGCCCACCAAGGCGACGAUCCGUAGCUGGUCUGAGAGGAUGAUCAGCCACACUGGAACUGAGCCACGGUCCAGACUCCUACGGGAGGCAGCAGUGGGGAAUAUUGGACAAUGGGCGCAAGCCUGAUCCAGCCAUACCGCGUGGGUGAAGAAGGCCUUCGGGUUGUAAAGCCCUUUUGUUGGGAAAGAAAAGCAGCAGGUUAAUACCCCGCUGUUCUGACGGUACCCAAAGAAUAAGCACCGGCUAACUUCGUG